AGCAGUGACAACCCGCUCCGGUCCCCUUCCGCAGUGUGGAAGCUUUGUUCUUUUGCUCUUUGCAGUAAAUCUUGCCACUGCUCACUCUUUGGGUCCACACUGCCUUUAUGAGCUGUAACACCGCGAAGGUCUGCAGCUUCACUCCUGAAGCCAGCGAGACCACGAGCCCACCGGGAGGAAGGAACAACUCCAGACGCGCCACCUUAAGAGCUAUAACACUCACCGCGAAGGUCUGCAGCUUCACUCCUGAGCCAGCGAGACCACGAACCCACCAGAAGGAAGAAACUCCGAACACAUCUGAACAUCAGAAGGAACAAACUCCGGACACGCCGCCUUUAAGAACUGUAACACUCACCGCGAGGGUCAGCGGCUUCUAUUCUUUAAGUCAGUAAGACCAAGAACCCACCAAGUCCGGACACAAUAUUUUCUAUUAUCUAUGUUUGAUUCUUGUCAUAAACAUCUGAACUGUUAAGGUAAUUCACUAAUGGAUCACAAUCUGCACUUCGAAAAUUACUGGACACUUCUUAUUCACACGUAAUACAUUCUGCCUUAACACAGUGCACUCUAAGAGAAUUAAUGAAAUGCAGAAAAGACUAUAGGUUUGUAAAAUUCACUCAGCAAAGUCAUUCAUUGUGUUGCUUAGGUACAUAAUAUUUCAAAAACUAAGCUUCACUGAGCAUCUGUAUUGACCACUUUGAAGUGAUAGUUUUAUAGCUGGAUCUUCCUACAUCAUGUACUAUCUGAACACAUCACACUAGUUUUGAUCGUUUGGUCUCAUUAACUCCAAUUAUCCAAAUUGGUAUGUAGGGAAAUAUACAAUACGGUGUUGACAGUUCAUAAGUAUUUGACUAUUAAUGUGUUGUCUAUAAAAUACUCAACCUACUCAGGAAACACAAUUCUUCAAAGAAAUAAUAAAAGAAUGAUCCAGCAUGAUCUAGAUUGUGUUACAUUCAAAUAAAGAAAAAUAAUGCAAAACAAUGCAACCUAACCUACCAUUAAAUUUCUAAGUAAUGACCAAAAUCCUUAGCUUUAUACAUGCAUUAUUUAAAAUUAUGAAACCCAGGAGACUUAUUUACAAUUCAUCCUUAAAUAGUGGAAUAAAAAUCAAUAUAACUGUUUUGUCAAUGC
RNAcentral lists this long non-coding RNA (1128 nucleotides) under Homo sapiens (human). RNAcentral's name for it is "HSALNT0312848". Lineage: Eukaryota; Metazoa; Chordata; Mammalia; Primates; Hominidae. The record is from RNAcentral.